Molecule: ribosomal RNA, 624 nt
Filed under: Triticum aestivum (bread wheat)
Lineage: Eukaryota; Viridiplantae; Streptophyta; Magnoliopsida; Poales; Poaceae
Description: partial small subunit ribosomal RNA
Source: RNAcentral
AUGCAGCCCGACAAGGAGUGGAAUGAGGAACUAAUAAGACAAAUUUUCUACCCCUUUGAUGCAGACGAGAUUUGCAAGAUCCGCAUCCCAGAGUCGGCCGUGGGGGACCGGGUUGCGUGGCGCCACGAGAAGAAUGAAGAAUUCUCGGUGAGAAGUGCUUACAAGUUGGCAGCAUUGAGUCUUCCCCAAUUAGCCCACAACCCUUCGAACUCAUCUAGUGAUCCGAAUGACCGAAGCAUAUGGGAUCUUAUCUGGAAGUCAAAAGUGCCAGGGAAAGUGCGAAUUUUUGGCUGGAGGGUGGCUACCAAUACACUUGCUACAAAAGAGAACAAGUGGAAACGGACACUGGAGCUGGAUAAUACUUGCAGCAUUUGUGGAAAUUGUACGGAGAAUGAGCAUCAUGCAGUGAUUAUGUGUACCAAAAGCAGGGCCUUAAGGGAUGCCACGAGGGAGAUAUGGAACCUACCUGAUGAAAGCAAAUUUUGGUAUACAGGAGAGAACUGGUUACAAGUACUGCUUGAUACUGAAUGCGAGGAGAUGCGCACCAAAAUUCUAUUGCUUAUCUGGCGAUGCUGGCACCUAAGAGAAGACUGCAUCCGUAAUAACGGAAGAGAAUCAAUUGGU